Molecule: ribosomal RNA, 253 nt
Filed under: uncultured bacterium
Lineage: Bacteria
Description: partial 16S ribosomal RNA
Rfam family: Archaeal small subunit ribosomal RNA
Source: RNAcentral
UACCAGCACCCCGAGUGGUCGGGACGUUUAUUGGGCCUAAAGCAUCCGUAGCCGGUUCUACAAGUCUUCCGUUAAAUCCACCUGCUUAACAGAUGGGCUGCGGAAGAUACUAUGGAGCUAGGAGGCGGGAGAGGCAAGCGGUACUCGAUGGGUAGGGGUAAAAUCCGUUGAUCCAUUGAAGACCACCAGUGGCGAAGGCGGCUUGCCAGAACGCGCUCGACGGUGAGGGAUGAAGGCUGGGGGAGCAAACCGG